GUUCUUGGUGCGAGUUUCGUACUUAGAGAUUUACAAUGAAGAAGUCAGGGACCUGCUACGUCAGGAUCAGUCGAUGCGUCUGGAAGUAAAGGAGCGCCCCGACGUGGGUGUAUAUGUUAAGGACUUGCUAACACAUGUUGUACAUAAUGCAGAUGAAAUGGACAGAAUCAUGACACUCGGGAACAAAAAUAGGGCUGUCGGAGCAACCAAUAUGAACGCACACAGUUCACGAUCACACGCUAUCUUCACAAUAACCAUAGAGUGUGCAGAGAGAGGUGUAGAUGGACAACAACAUUGGAGAGUCGGGAAGCUUCACUUAGUAGAUCUUGCAGGUUCAGAGCGACAGAGCAAAACAGGGGCAACAGGUCAAAGACUUAAAGAAGCUAGUAAAAUUAAUCUAUCCCUUUCAACUCUCGGUAAUGUAAUUUCGGCUCUGGUGGAUGGAAGAUCAACACAUAUUCCGUACCGAAAUUCUAAGCUAACUAGACUUUUACAAGAUUCUUUGGGAGGCAACUCAAAGACAUUAAUGUGUGCAAAUAUAGGACCAGCCAGUUACAACUAUGAUGAGACAAUCAGCACGCUGCGCUAUGCCAAUCGAGCAAAGAACAUCUGUAACAAAGCCAAGAUCAACGAGGACCCGAAGGACGCUCUUCUGCGCCGGCUCCAGGAUGAGAUAAAGACACUGAGAGGUCAACUUGAAGUCAGCGAAAAAGUUAGAGAAAAAGAUGAAUCAGAGGAGGACGAUUCUGAUGAAGAGGAACUGGAAGGUGAGGAAAAGCCAAAGAAGAAGAAGAAGAAAUUGAAGGAAGAGGAGGUUGCUGCCAUCCGAAAGAAAAUUGAUGAGGAGCGCAAGAUGUUAGCAGAGAGGAAGGACCUUGAGGAAGAAGAGAGGAAUAAGGUGAAGAGCGACCUAGAUAGACAUGAAAAGGAGCUGAAGAAGGCACAGAAAGAACAGGAGGCCCUGAAACAGAGGUUGCAAGGACUAGAACGCAAAAUUCUUGUUGGUGGUGAAAAUUUGUUAGAGAAAGCAGAGGAGCAGGAGAGACUAUUAGAAGAAUCAGCCAAAGAGCUUGAGGAGAGGAGGCGGCACGAGGAACAGCUCCGACAUGCCAUCACACAAAAGGAGGCAGAAAGAAUCGAUAUGGAAGAAAGGUAUACCACCCUACAAGAAGAGAAUGCUGGUAAGACUAGAAAGCUUAAAAAGGUGUGGACUCUUCUGAUGGCCGCUAAGUCUGAGUUGGGAGACAUGCAGGCAGAACAUCAAAGGGAAAUGGAGGCUCUUCUGGAAUCUGUUCGGCACCUGUCUCGGGAACACAAAUUGCAUCAGCUGAUCAUUGAUUCUUUCAUUCCAUUGGAGUAUCAGGACAUGGUGGAGCGUUAUGUUCACUGGAAUGAAGAUAUAGGGGAAUGGCAGCUGAAGUGUGUUGCUUACACAGGCAACAAUAUGAGGAAACAACUGGACAAUGGUGAUGCAGAAAAGGAAAAUCAGAACCAAGAUGGGGAUAUGUGGCAGGUCUACAAGACAUACAGUCCAGAGGUAUACACAAAACCUGCUGCCAAACCACUUAGAAAGAAAUCAGGCAUUCCGAGACCCAAACAUGCCAGGUCUGCGAGGAAGGCCGACAAGUAGCAACGACCCAUGUCCAAAUUGCCUGUUUUCAAAGGAUGAGUUAGAUGUUCAAGGGUUGAAGACUUGCAGUAUUUACAGAGGUGGAUAAGAGCCAUAGGAUUCCAGCAACAAGAGGCAAACCUAUAUCAUUUUGUUAUUCACGGUGACCAAGUGUAUUCUGAAGACAUCUUUCAUAUAAUAGUCUGUAUAGUGUAAAUUGAGAAUCACAAGCAUCUUUAUUGAUGUAAAAAUAUAUAUAGUCUCAGAUUAUUGUAAUUAAAUAAUUUUUGAAAUUUACUUUACCAUGAAUCUAGUAUAUGGUAAUGAACAUGAAUUAAAUGUGGAAUCAUGCAAAGAUUUAUCAUUAAGAGAUGAUCUGUGAUUAGGAAAACAGCAGCUAACUAGACAGGUUCACAUGCUCACAGAUACAGUUGCUUAGUGAUAGUUUGUUCCUUUGUACUUAUGGAAGUGAAGAUUGUAUGUUAAUUGAUCCAAAAUGAUUUAUGUAAUACAUGAAAGUUGAAAGAAUAAUUCUUUAACCUUGUCUAAUUUCAGUAACUAGAUGGCAAGUUUCAGUCUGAAAACAUAUAUUAUUAAUAAGAUAUUGAGUUAAAUUCCUGUCCCAUUCAGUGCUUCAUUAAUAAAUCAUAUUAAUCACAGAAUAGUAUGAACAAAGCUGAAUUUAUAACUAUGCCACUUUUCACAGGAAUGCAGAGUAUACAGCAAGUUACAUUAUUUAUCUGAUGAUAAUUAAUAAUCUGAUGAGACAAACACAUCACAUGCAUAACUCACAUUAAGGCAAUGAUAAACUUGUUGGUUACUUUGGUUUAUAUUUCUCUAGUUUGUUUCUUUACUUUUUUUAUUUUUAUAGUUUUGAAUUUUAACCCCCCCCCCCCUAUUUAGCUUUAAGUAAUUUGAAUUUUGCUGAUAGUGAAGUGUCUGUAUUAGUCAUGGAUAUUAGAAGCAAGAACUGAAUUAUUUCAAUACUUUGUGUGUAUUUAUAAUGGACAGAAUUCUUUACUGCAUGAAGAUUAAAUCAAUUGAUGAGAACCAAAUCAUGAUCUCAUUUAAAAAAAAUAGUUGCAUCGUCUCAGUUAAAUGUUUACAUUAGUAUGCCAUUAUCAUGUAUUUAUAUAUCUAAAUAGCUAUUUAACUUAAACAAUUGGUAUGAGAUAUUAUGAUACUAUGUUCAAGUCUUUAACCAGUAAUAGUCAAUUUAUCUAUGUUUUCAAUACAAUGGUACUAAUGUUAAUUUUACAUAAUUAUUUAGAAGUUUUGUUUGGAGGAAAUAAUAAUGUACAAGUGUAAAGAUGUCCAAGACAAAAAUAAAAUUUGAAAAUUUAA
Molecule: unclassified non-coding RNA, 2953 nt
Filed under: Penaeus japonicus
Lineage: Eukaryota; Metazoa; Arthropoda; Malacostraca; Decapoda; Penaeidae
Description: kinesin-like protein KIF3A, transcript variant X3
Source: RNAcentral